Molecule: long non-coding RNA, 1022 nt
Organism: Protopterus annectens (West African lungfish)
Lineage: Eukaryota; Metazoa; Chordata; Ceratodontiformes; Protopteridae
Exons: 2
Source: RefSeq, a predicted model, not a curated record
CAGGCCCUUGCUACACACUUGCUUCUGUCAACAUUCCAGUCAAGCUGGAAAACAGAUAUGUAGCACCAGAAUGGAUGUUAGAGGUCAGGGAAUACAAGCUCUACAUUUCAGACCAGCCAUUGGAUCGUAUUUGAGUAAUGCAAAGAAGAAGCAUUGUCACCUCCAAGUGAGAGGAAAGUAACUUUAAAAGGUCUAGAGAAAUGUGAUGUUCUAAAAGGAAGAUUAUAAGUACAGUUCACAAGUGGAACUAUCACAGACUUUCAGAUGCCUAAAACAGCACUCUAAAAGAGCUCUUACAACAACUCCCAUCAGCAACAAAAUAAGUACUAUAAGCCUCAAAGUCAUAUGAUUCAACUUGAGGAAGUACAAGAAGAUAUUUUUCAGGGUGAUCUCUUUUCUGACACUGACUUUGAACAACUCAAAUUUAAGACACAACUAUCACAGAAAAAAAGGAACCAGAUAUCAUUUUGUACCAUGUAUGAGUAUACUACACAGCAUGAUAGUACUCAAGAUGGCAUCAUGUUAUAAUGUUCAAGCAUUUCUAUUUCACAUGCAUAAGUUAUAAAAAUGACCACUUCUGCUAUAAGAAGUGGAAUAAAAAACAUGUUUUAGGAAAGUAAAAAAAAUGUAUGCAUAAGUAUAUGGGAAAAUGAUCUAUAAAACAGAAAACAAAAAAAAUAACCACCCUGGGGAUUCAAUAAACUCCGUGUAGGCUUAGCAUGAACCUACAUGGAGUUUACAUGUUUGCGCUGCGAGCAGCAGUUCUAAUUACAUAUGCAUGCUAUGCACUGUGUUUAAAUGUAAACAAGCACAGUUUCAUAAAGCAACACGGAUACCAACAGACAUGUAAACCUGUUUAUCUACGGGCAAAUUAGGUCUACGGGAUUGCACGGAAUGCCACAAAGAUUACCAGAGUCAUUAAUAAAGCAAUGUGUAUAGUUUCAAGACAUUAUGAAAGUGUAUACAGUGCAUAGUAUUGUGGAAACAUGUUUGGCAUACUGAAUUAAAGUUGUUUAAAUGAC